UCUGGCUUCUGGUCUACGACUAGGACUACUCCUUGAUUUGUGCAAUCGACUUACCUGGUUUCUUCAGUGGCAGCUGGAGCCCAGAGUCAAAUCCCAACACAACCGGAAGGCACGGCGCUUGACAGUGAUGUGUGUUCGUAUUGGUAUAUGUGUGCAGUAUAAUGUGUGGCCUUCAAAGCUCUUCUGACUGCUCAGAGGCAGCGAGAGACGGAGGGCAAAAAGAGAAAGACAGAAGAAGAAAAUGAAGGAAUAAAUAGGAUGGAGGUUUUAAUUAAAGGGACCCCCUGGAGAGAGGGAACACUGCAUACCCCGACAGAUAUGACUGCUGAGGAAAGAAAGGCAGAUGGUUACAGAAAUGAAGUCUGGAAACCGGGUUAUAUUUAUUACUGGCAAGACCAUUAGUGCUGUGGAGAAGGAUCAGUAUCUGGGGUCAUGGUCAUGUGACCUUGUUAACUUCAGAAGCACCUUGUACAGUUCUCUGAUACCAAACUGCUGUAAAAC
Long non-coding RNA from Sinocyclocheilus grahami, 501 nucleotides. RefSeq lists it as uncharacterized. The record is from RefSeq and is a predicted model, not a curated record. NCBI's taxonomy places the organism in Eukaryota, Metazoa, Chordata, Actinopteri, Cypriniformes, Cyprinidae. The transcript has 4 exons.